AGUCUUCCCUUCCAGGAGUUCUGGUAUGGUUUUUAGGCCCUGGGAAGCUGCUUAAGCCUGAUUUCCUUCCAUUGCUGGUCCAACCACUGGCCAGUCCAAGAUCAGCUUUCCCCAGCAAAGCUCUUCCCACGUUCUCAGGCUCCCAGCUGCUGGGAAGGAAAGACUGACUCUCACUGGGAGCCCAGACCCUACAGGUUAAUGGUGGGGAGAGGACACUGCCACCAGAGUGUUUUUAAAGGUGAAGGCUGGCUUGGCAAAAUGGAGAUGUCAGCCAAGAGAAAGGGUGAAGAACUACGUAAACUGACUAUUUGGCCUCGGCAUUUCCCAGACACCAGCUCCUUUGAUCUAUCCAAAUUGUAGUUGUUAACUUGGUGUCUGAGGAGUCUGAAACUCUCCGAAAUUGUGGGAUUUGGUUCCAUCACUGCGGCGCCAACCCGCGGCUGGGCUGUCCGCGAGAGGGAGUUGAAGGCGCGCGGAAUCCCGAGGUGCAGCUGACCCUCCUCUCAACGCCGACUCUGCCGCUCCCGCCCGGUCACCUCCCUGUCGGGCAGACUUCCUGUUCUUCUGCUCACAGCAGGGAGGCAGUCGCCGAGCCGGUCAGCAGCUUGCACGGAGAUCUUCAAUCUGCGCCCAGCCCCGGGACACAGGUGCAGAUCUCCAGCAGAGCACUGCGGAGUGCGCGCCGUCGAGCACUAGGGAAUCCUAGACGGAGGACUUGGUCCAUUCCACGCAGUCCCAGGCAGGUCCGCAGCGGAGGGACGCAUUGGUCUCCAACCCCUGGUCACGACUUCCGCGACCCUCCACCCCCUGAGAGACCUGGUCCCACGGAGCUGUCCCCCCAGGAGCCGCAGCGGGAAUAGCAAGGCAAAGGGGACCACUCAGCCUCCAGGAGGAGCCCUGAAGCGAAAAGAUUGCUGCGGGGAGCCACGUUCCCUCUGGUUCACCUCGAAGCCCAGGAGCUCCGGUCCCUGGACCAAGGAGCGAACAGACCUGAGGAAGAGGUACAAUCUUAAAGUGUUGCUGCUAGACCUUUCUUCUCUUCUAAUUUACCAAGUGAGGAGUGUUGAAAUAUCCAGCUAUAAUUUAUGGAUUUCUCCUUUCAAUACUAUCAUUUUCGGUGCUUUAUGUAUUUUUGAAGCUCUAUUAUUAGGCUAGAGUGCAAUGGCACGAUGUUGGCUCACUGCAACCUCCGCCUCCCAGGUUCAAGCAAUUCUCCUGUCUCAGCCUCUGGAGUAGCUGGAAUUACAGGCGCAUGCCACCAUGCCCGGCUAAUUUUUGUAUUUUUAGUAGAGACAGGGUUUCACCAUGUUGGCCAGGCUGGUCUCAAACUCCUGACCUCAGGUGAUCCGCCAGCCUCGGCCUCCCAAAGUGCUGGAAUUACAG
This is a long non-coding RNA of Pongo pygmaeus (Bornean orangutan), 1383 nucleotides long. RefSeq lists it as uncharacterized. The record is from RefSeq and is a predicted model, not a curated record. The transcript has 5 exons. Lineage: Eukaryota; Metazoa; Chordata; Mammalia; Primates; Hominidae.